CCAGCAGCUGCGGUAAUUCCAGCUCCAAUAGCGUAUAUUAAAGUUGUUGCAGUUAAAAAGCUCGUAGUUGAACUUCUGUACAUUCCCGGUGCCGGCUCUUGUCGAACCGUGGAGUGUGCAUCCGCUUACAAACUUAGCCCGGUCUUCAUUGGUCGACUAAGGGAGUAGGCCCUUUACUUUGAAAAAAUUAGAGUGUUUCAAGCAGGCAAUGGCUCGAAUACAUUAGCAUGGAAUAAUGGAAUAGGACUGAGGUCCAUUUGGUUGGUUAUUGGACUUUAGUAAUGAUUAACAGGGACAGUUGGGGGCAUUAGUAUUUCGUUGUCAGAGGUGAAAUUCUUGGAUUUACGAAAGACUAACUUAUGCGAAAGCAUUUGCCAAGGAUGUUUUCAUUAAUCAAGAACGAAAGU
RNAcentral lists this ribosomal RNA (407 nucleotides) under uncultured eukaryote. RNAcentral's name for it is "SSU rRNA". It matches the Rfam family "Eukaryotic small subunit ribosomal RNA", at positions 567 to 990 of the family's 1831-position model. The record is from RNAcentral.